AACGCGAAGAACCUUACCCAGACUUGACAUGUAGAGGACGAUGGUAGAAAUACCAUUUCCCUUCGGGGCCUUUACACAGGUGCUGCAUGGCUGUCGUCAGCUCGUGCCGUGAGGUGUUUGGUUAAGUCCAGCAACGAGCGCAACCCUUAUCAUUAGUUGCCAACACGUAAAGGUGGGAACUCUAAUGAGACUGCCUGGGUUAACCAGGAGGAAGGUGAGGAUGAUGUCAAGUCCGCAUGGCCCUUAUGUCUGGGGCUACACACGUGCUACAAUGGUCGGUACAGAAGGCAGCGAAGCCGCGAGGUGAAGCAAAAUCCCGAAAGCCGAUCUCAGUUCAGAUUGUAGUCUGCAACUCGACUACAUGAAGACGGAAUUGCUAGUAAUGGCAGGUCAGCAACACUGCCGUGAAUACGUUCCCGGGCCUUGUACACACCGAGACGAC
This 442-nucleotide ribosomal RNA is filed under the name uncultured bacterium. Its description in RNAcentral is "bacterial SSU rRNA". It matches the Rfam family "Bacterial small subunit ribosomal RNA", at positions 958 to 1398 of the family's 1533-position model. The record is from RNAcentral.